GAUGAACGCUAGCUACAGGCUUAACACAUGCAAGUCGAGGGGAAACGAUAGAGAAAGCUUGCUUUUUCUAGGCGUCGACCGGCGCACGGGUGAGUAACGCGUAUCCAACCUGCCCACCACUUGGGGAUAACCUUGCGAAAGUAAGACUAAUACCCAAUGAUAUCCCAAGAAGACAUCUGAAUGAGAUUAAAGAUUUAUCGGUGAUGGAUGGGGAUGCGUCUGAUUAGCUUGUUGGCGGGGUAACGGCCCACCAAGGCGACGAUCAGUAGGGGUUCUGAGAGGAAGGUCCCCCACAUUGGAACUGAGACACGGUCUAAACUCCUACGGGAGGCAGCAGUGAGGAAUAUUGGUCAAUGGGCGAGAGCCUGAACCAGCCAAGUAGCGUGCAGGAUGACGGCCCUAUGGGUUGUAAACUGCAUUUGUAAGGGAAUAAAGUGAGCCUCGUGAGGCUUUUUGCAUGUACCUUAUGAAUAAGGACCGGCUAAUUCCGUGCCAGCAGCCGCGGUAA
RNAcentral lists this ribosomal RNA (508 nucleotides) under uncultured bacterium. RNAcentral's name for it is "partial 16S ribosomal RNA". It matches the Rfam family "Bacterial small subunit ribosomal RNA", at positions 28 to 523 of the family's 1533-position model. The record is from RNAcentral.